RNAcentral lists this ribosomal RNA (495 nucleotides) under uncultured bacterium. RNAcentral describes it as "partial 16S ribosomal RNA". It matches the Rfam family "Bacterial small subunit ribosomal RNA", at positions 30 to 507 of the family's 1533-position model. The record is from RNAcentral.
UGACCGCUGGCGGCGUGCCUACUACAUGCACGUCGAGCGAACAGACGAGGAGCUUGCUCCUCUGACGUUAGCGGCGGACGGGUGAGUAACACGUGGAUAACCUACCUAUAAGACUGGGAUAACUUCGGGAAACCGGAGCUAAUACCGGAUAAUAUAUUGAACCGCAUGGUUUAAUAGUGAAAGACGGUUUUGCUGUCACUUAUAGAUGGAUCCGCGCCGCAUUAGCUAGUUGGUAAGGUAACGGCUUACCAAGGCAACGAUGCGUAGCCGACCUGAGAGGGUGAUCGGCCACACUGGAACUGAGACACGGUCCAGACUCCUACGGGAGGCAGCAGUAGGGAAUCUUCCGCAAUGGGCGAAAGCUUGACGGAGCAACGCCGCGUGAGUGAUGAAGGUCUUCGGAUCGUAAAACUCUGUUAUUAGGGAAGAACAAAUGUGUAAGUAACUAUGCACGUCUUGACGGUACCUAAUCAGAAAGCCACGGCUAACUACGUG